Molecule: small RNA, 62 nt
Filed under: Caenorhabditis elegans
Lineage: Eukaryota; Metazoa; Nematoda; Chromadorea; Rhabditida; Rhabditidae
Description: Unclassified non-coding RNA F53B7.8
Source: RNAcentral
UUUUUCUAUUUUCGUUAUGUUAACUUGAUGUGGGAAUCGGAAACAUAUUAAUAGAAAAAAAA